CCUGCCCGGCUCUCUGAGCACUUCCCUGGAGUCUGUGCAAACAUGAGAACAGGAACGAAAGCAGUCUCGUUCCCGUGUUUGUGGGAUGAAGGCAGGAGCCCAGAGGCGAGAAGAGGCUGGGGCAGCAAAAGCCCC
MicroRNA precursor from Equus caballus (horse), 135 nucleotides. The record is from Ensembl. Lineage: Eukaryota; Metazoa; Chordata; Mammalia; Perissodactyla; Equidae.